GCGCAUUGGCCGAAGGGUUGCGUCAAUCAUUCUACAAGGCAGAGGCGGAGCAGGCGGGGGAGCAAAGCUCUCCGCGCAGAAGGGGUGGGGUGAGAAGAGAGGAAAGGCAAGGAUGGGUUCGUUCCCCCUUGUCUCAUUGCUGAGUUUUUAUUGGCUUGCAGAAUCCUGACAAGGCGAUGUUGUUUACACCGAACGGCCUAAUGAUUGGGCAGUACAGACGUCCAUCUGCGGAAAGUUCAGGAGCUUGGGUCUGGAUGGAGAAGGUAGUAGUUACUCCUGGUUGAUUCAAAUGAAAAAGAUAAUCUGUGAUAGUAGGGACUUCUGGUGAAGUUGUUAAAAAGUUCGUGUUACAUGAUGCCUAGAGAAGAUAAGAGCAUACAAAAUUAGUCUCUCAUCAUCAUGUGCAGAAAAGCUUCUUAUGAAACAAAACCAUGAAUAUAUUGCUGAUGCUUUAUUUUAAAAAUAUUUAUUAGUUAUUUGACAACUUGCAUGGUCAAAUAUCCUCAUGCCUCUUAACCUUAUAAAAAUUGGAGACUGUUAGAUCAUAAACAACCCUACAUAAUGAGGCUAUUAUCACGAGCGAGCAAAACCGGGCUAAGGCAGCAAGCCUGCCUAAGAAGCCACCCCCUUAAAUGAGGUUAAUGGAGUGAGCACUCCGUUAAUCUCGUUUUUCGGAUUGUGUGUCUGCUGUGGCUGCUUACAGCCACGGCAACACACUCGAGGGGUGGGGGAUCCUAGAAAUGCACCACACUUGUGUAGUGCAUUACUGAAGCUCCGGGGUGUGUGAUCCGCCCACCCAGCGAUGGUGAGUGUCAGUCAGUUUCAGUCAGUCAGUGCUUGUUUGCAGGGAGGGUUGGGCAAACCCGUUCUCCAUGCAGACUGCUGAGAAGCUCUUCUCACUGAUUGUGAGAAGAGCUUCAAUAUGUGAAUAAGUAGCUACAAUACCCCAACCCCACCUGUUCUGUGAGUACAUAUAUCAUGCAUUCAGUGCCUAAUCUUGCUAAAUCAACACAUAUCUCCUAUUCAGAACCAGCUGUGAAGUUACUUUUAAUGUUUAAAAGAAGUUUAAAGAAGCUACAGAAGUUUCAUGCUGGUGUUUAAUCCAGAGUAGCUUUCACCACUUAACUACAAUGCUGAAGAAUGUACCAAUUUGAAAAGGGUCAGGUUUAUCUGCUUUAGUUUAUUAAUUGUCAGCAAAAUAUAAAACAAAAGCACAAAUUGAACAUUGUGGUUGUCAGAACAAAACUCAUUCUGCACACAUGAAAAAGAUUAGAGAGAACACUGGUGUACAGUCUAAAACACAACAAUUAAAACAUUAACACAAAACAAUUUAAAAUAUAGAUAAAAUUCUAAAACUUAAAACAUUUAAAACUAUACAUUAAAAACUUGUUAAACAAGUAUGUUUUCAGAUUUUUCUUAUAAACAUCCAGAAAAGGAAGUUCCUAAUUUUGUUAGGAAGUCCUAGGGCAACCCUAGAAAAGGCCCAGUUUCGAGUCGCCAUCAACCAAGCCGUUGGUAACUGCAACUGGACCUCCCAUGAUAAUCUUAAUAAGUGGCAGGGCUCAUGAAGAAGGUGGUGUUCUCUUUUAUUUUAUUUUAAAUAUCACUGUGUUUUUUUAAUUGUGUUUGUUACCUUUUAUUUUCAAACUAUGUUAACCAAGUCCUCAGGAGGGUGUGGGCUAGAAACUGAACUGACUGUCUACAGUCACGUUUUAUGAUCAAAAUUAGUCAGACUGUUCAGAUAUAUGUGUAUUUGCCAAAGCUAUAUUUGCAAUUCAUGAUUAGGAUUGUGGCUUCCUAUUCGGACUGGUCACUUGUCAGUCUGUGUCAUUUUCUUGGGGAACUGAAGGUGACCAGUUCUAGAUCUGCUGUAGCUAUAAAAUGUUCUACGAUGCCAUAUGGAUGCUGUAGCUAGAUCCCUGCAGUGAGCAAGGAGCUGGCCUCUAAGGUCCUUUCCAACCCUAAAAUUCUUUGAGUCUAAGAAUCUCUUAUAUGUUUAUAGCAAAAUUAUAAAUAAAAGAUAAUAAAAUAUACAGAUGAUUAAUGA
Molecule: long non-coding RNA, 2047 nt
Organism: Hemicordylus capensis (graceful crag lizard)
Lineage: Eukaryota; Metazoa; Chordata; Lepidosauria; Squamata; Cordylidae
Exons: 3
Source: RefSeq, a predicted model, not a curated record